RNAcentral lists this long non-coding RNA (1468 nucleotides) under Coturnix japonica (Japanese quail). RNAcentral describes it as "lncRNA (ENSCJPG00005011539.1)". The record is from RNAcentral. Lineage: Eukaryota; Metazoa; Chordata; Aves; Galliformes; Phasianidae.
GGUCUGUCUGACCAUUUAUUUGCAUAUGCUGGGUGAGUAACGCGCACUGCAGGGUAUGUGCCUAAGGCAACGCUUCCCUCUCCAUUCUUCUGAGGUGCGCCUUGCCUACAGGCAUCGCAUGCACAGUGGGAGAAUGAUUUAUACAUUCACUGAGAGAAAGAGAGAGCAAAAUGGAAGCCAUGGCAUAAAGCUACAAUGCACUUGAGAUGCUAGUGGUUUCACAGGACUAGCUGUCCUCCUAUGCUCCUCUCCUUUUGUGCCUGAAAUCUCCCAAGUGCAGGUUGUUUGGGCUACACCUAAUGGCCUAUCUCAGACUGUAAGUUGAAGGCAGCUGUGGGUGGGUCUGGUCUUGCAUGCAGAGUGAUUCAUCCUCCUGUUUCCCUUUAUCCUUUCAGCAGACUUCAGAGCUUGGAGUUGAGGGGAAGGAUAAGGAAGAAGGGGAGAAAGUAGGAGUAGGACUGGGGUAAUACUGCUCAGCCCAGUCUGUUUUCAUUGUGAAUUAACAGCACUGCACCUGAAAAAUGUGUUAUUGUAAUUUGGAAGGUCUCAAAGCCUAGUAGGCUCAGACUUGAAAUUGUAUACCUGUGUUAAAGGCUGAAGAAGCCAGAGGUUGAGGUGUGACUUUUGCAGAUCAGGUUCUUCUUUAAUGGCUGACUAGUGGUAUUGUGACUAACUAAAAUAGGAAGGAAAUGUUGUGUUAUCAAAUGCUACUGUUGGCAGCGUUUUGGAAUUGGACUUCUUGGGAGCAUCCUUUUUAUUUGAUGGACGCAGCCUCUUGAAUUAAACAUGGGGUCCUGCUUGUUUCCUGAUGCGUCUUUGCACAGCUUCAUCUCUAAGCAUGCCUGGCUCCCAUGCUCUGCAGAGGAUGCUCCACUUCGCCUGCAGCGAUGCUUCCAGGAGGAGGUCAGCAGCUGAGGAAUGGGCCUUAUUUUCCUUCCCAAAUCCUACAGGGAAGAAGCGACCGCAUGCUAUUCAUUAUUUUGAGAUUAUUUAAGAAACCAUUGCUAUUGAACUAGCAGGAGAUCUUCUCAUCUGUGACCUACGCUAGAUCCGUCUGAUUGUUGUGCCCCAGCUGCAGGCCAUAAUUUUCAUGGGAAAGUUUUAAGAGCACCUGAAGAGUGCUCUUUGCUAGCUCCUCUUUGCUAGCCCUCACCAGUUUGUAUGGACAUCUCCUGGCCUCUCCAACUGCAGCGUGGAGGGGGUUGUUUGAUUUCUUCUUAAACAUUGUCCUGCCUUCCUCCUACUUUUUGAUGAAGCCGUACAUACAUGGAAAUGCACUGUGUGUUGAGCAGGGCAUGUGAACAGAGGAGCCACUUUGAGCUACUUUUGAGGGAUUCCACUUGACUGAUAACAGAACCACGGGAUAGACCUCAGGGAGGUGAGUCGUAUGUUAAUUUCUUCUUGAAGUUGCCUUGGCAUGUUAAAAGCUGUGAUAUUUCAGAAAAAUCCUGUUUCUUUUUUUUUCUUU